RNAcentral lists this ribosomal RNA (347 nucleotides) under uncultured bacterium. Its description in RNAcentral is "bacterial SSU rRNA". It matches the Rfam family "Bacterial small subunit ribosomal RNA", at positions 46 to 385 of the family's 1533-position model. The record is from RNAcentral.
GCCUAACACAUGCAAGUCGAGCGGCAGCACAAGUAAGUUUACUUAUGAGUGUGGCGAGCGGCGGACGGGUGAGUAAUGCCUAGGGAUCUGCCCAGUCGAGGGGGAUAACAGCUGGAAACGACUGCUAAUACCGCAUACGCCCUACGGGGGAAAGAGGGGGACCUUCGGGCCUCUCGCGAUUGGAUGAACCUAGGUGGGAUUAGCUAGUUGGUGAGGUAAUGGCUCACCAAGGCGACGAUCCCUAGCUGUUCUGAGAGGAUGAUCAGCCACACUAGGGACUGAGACACUGGCCAGACUCCUACGGGAGGCAGCAGUGGUGGAAUAUUGCACAAUGGGGGGAAACCCUG